RNAcentral lists this ribosomal RNA (420 nucleotides) under uncultured bacterium. RNAcentral's name for it is "bacterial SSU rRNA". It matches the Rfam family "Bacterial small subunit ribosomal RNA", at positions 355 to 774 of the family's 1533-position model. The record is from RNAcentral.
UAAGGAAUAUUGCUCAAUGGGAGAAAUCCUGAAGCAGCAACGCCGCGUGGAGGAUGAAGGGUCUAUGACUUGUAAACUCCUGUAAAGAAGGAAAAAAUUCCCAUUAGAUGGGAGAUGAUGGUACUUCUGGAGUAAGCCCCGGCUAACUACGUGCCAGCAGCCGCGGUAAUACGUAGGGGGCAAGCGUUGUCCGGAUUUACUGGGUGUAAAGGGUGCUCAGGCGGAUUUGUAAGUCAGAGGUGAAAUCUUACAGCUUAACUGUGAAACUGCCUUUGAUACUGCAAGCCUAGAGUAUGGAAGAGAGUGAUGGAAUAACUGGUGUAGCAGUGAAAUGCGUAGAUAUCAGAUAGAACACCAAUGGCGAAGGCAGUCACUUGGUCCAUUACUGACGCUAAAGCACGAAAGCGUGGGUAGCAAACA